GUUUGUGUUCCAGAAAACAAGCAGUUUGUCCUUCCAAACACAUUUACGACCCAAAACCCUCCUCCAGCACAGAGUCCUGAGGGCUGGCAGCACAUGUGAGUCAGGGUUUCCAAACCAAAAGGCUUCAACCUGCAUUUUCAACUAUUUUCUUAUAUGACUUGGCCAAGAGGAAAACAUGGCCAGCAGUGUGGGUGAAAGCACCCCAGAGAAGGGGGCAGGGGAGGUGGUGGGUGUGUGGGGUGGCUGCCCUGGGCAGAGCUGCCAGCUCUCCUUGGCUGAUGCCAUUUCAUUUAUGCAGGGUUUGGACGGUGCAAAGGGAGAAAAAGGUGACACUGGUGAGAAGGGGGACCACGGUGACACUGGACCCGCUGUGAGUAGUUUUCCCAAAUCUCAUUUCUGGCUGUCGGCAGCAGCCUGCCUGACAGCAAUGACCCUAAUGCCCUGUUUCUUUGUAACUUCAGGGUCUCCCGGGCGCUCCAGGGCUCAUUGGAUUACCUGGUACCAAAGGAGAGAAGGGAAAGCCGGGGGAGCCAGGAUUGGAUGGUUUCCCAGGUCUCAGAGGAGAGAAAGGAGAGAGAAGUGAAAGAGGCGAGAAGGUGAGUGCGUUAUGGCUGCAGGCACAUUCAUGGGGCAGGACAAGCAGCUCUUUCUGCCAGGUUGCCCUGGGUGCUGGUCCUCUCUUGGCUGUUUCUUGAGUAAUUCCUGAAAGGCCUUUUCCAUAGCACAAGUCCUUGCCCGGUCCCAGUGUAGGGCAGGACAGGCAGUUAAUUCCUACCCACUUGGAAGAGCUUUCAACCCCCACCCACAGCACAACCACUGUGGGGAAAUGGAGCAGCGUGACAGCUCCAGGCUGCAAAGAAUUGCUGGUCUUGGUUUCUAGACCUUGAAAAU
Molecule: long non-coding RNA, 891 nt
Filed under: Manacus vitellinus (golden-collared manakin)
Lineage: Eukaryota; Metazoa; Chordata; Aves; Passeriformes; Pipridae
Description: lncRNA (ENSMVIG00005010797.1)
Source: RNAcentral